Molecule: long non-coding RNA, 233 nt
Filed under: Phascolarctos cinereus (koala)
Lineage: Eukaryota; Metazoa; Chordata; Mammalia; Diprotodontia; Phascolarctidae
Description: lncRNA (ENSPCIG00000029658.2)
Source: RNAcentral
GGAGAGAAGAGAUACACGGAGACAGAAGUCCCUAGAUAAAGCUACCAUCCACCCACUCCCAUGCAGCAGCUUGGGGAGGUGGGGAAGGAGAGUGAUUUCUGGUUAUGGAUGCUAGUCACAGGAUGCUUGCCUAAAUGGAACGUGUGGGCUCCAGCUUUUUGCAAGGGGACUGGAUCUAAGUGGAGGGAUGGGCCAGGACUCUGUGGUUCUCCUGUCUAUGAUCUAUCCCUGGG